GCCGGAGUGGCGGAAUUGGCAGACGCGCCGGAUUCAAAAUCCGGUGAGGGCAACCUCAUGUGGGUUCGAGUCCCACCUCCGGUACUA
RNAcentral lists this transfer RNA (87 nucleotides) under Rhodopirellula sp. RNAcentral's name for it is "tRNA-Leu". It matches the Rfam family "tRNA". From Rfam's summary of the family: Transfer RNA (tRNA) molecules are approximately 80 nucleotides in length. Their secondary structure includes four short double-helical elements and three loops (D, anti-codon, and T loops). Lineage: Bacteria; Pseudomonadati; Planctomycetota; Planctomycetia; Pirellulales; Pirellulaceae. The record is from RNAcentral.